Molecule: non-coding RNA, 92 nt
Filed under: unclassified sequences
Description: freshwater-2 RNA
Rfam family: freshwater-2 RNA
About the family: Aquatic, esp. fresh water. No recognized genes
Source: RNAcentral
UUUGACAAUGAUGUUGAAGACUUAUGCGGGACUAAACACCGCGUAGUAGAUAGAACCUACAUUGGACUUCUUUUAAGGAGAAAACAAAAAAU